AAAACGUGUACACAAAUGUUCAUAGCAGCAUUAUUUAUAAUGAUCUAAAAGUGGACACAAUCAAAGUGUCCAUCAACUGGUAAAUGAAUAAAAUCUUGUAUGUCCAUACAAUGGAGUAUUAUUUGGCUGUGAAAAGGAAUGGAAUACACAUGCUACAAUGCAGAUGAACUCUGAAAACAUUACACUAAAUCAGAGAAGCUAGUUAUAAACAAUCUCACACUGCAUGAGUAUUUAAAUUAAAUGCCCUAAAGAGGCAAAUCUAUAGACACGUAAGGUAGAUUAGCAGUUCCUAGGGCUGGCAAAGGAGGAAGAGAUUGGGGAAUUCAGUAUUAAUGUACAUGAGCUUUCAUCUGGGGGUGAUGGUUGUUCCAAUCUGUCGAUAUGUAUUUAAAACAGGGCCAGGGAUUUAAAUCAGUGUUGCCGCCACCUGCCUUGGUACAAACAACAACAACAACAACAACAACAACAACAACAACAACAACAAAAUUGCUUAAAACCAUUUGGAAUCCAGCACUGCUAAUCCAGCUCCAGUUUUCAUGGGAUGUGAAGAUUUUUAAGAGCUUUGGCAGUGGGGCUUCAGUACCUACUCUGCAAUCAAGACUGAAAGAUGACUUUUGAGACUUAUUUAUUAUUCCAGAUUCUGUGUGAAUUUUUACAGUUUCAUUUGUGCUUUUUAAAAAGGGGGACAGGUAGGAAUAGUAUGGGAAUGAACAAUAAAUUGUUACGAAUGACGUAAGCAUAUAGUAAUUCUUUUGUUUAAAGCCUUGCGUAAGUAUGUAAUUGAAUUCACUAAAAUAUAUCAUGGCACAAUUUCUGAGUUCAUGACUUACACUGUGAGUAUAAGUUUCUGCAUACACUGGAUGGGGGAGGUAAGAAAUUAAAAUGUGGCCUUUGAGGUUUUGUUGAGUUUUGAUACACUUUUAAUGUGUGUUUAAGUGGGAAUCACUAAAGGUUACGAGUGCCCUUUAGUUCAUUAGGAAUCAAUUACAAAGCCUCUUAAGCAUUAGAGUUUAAGGGUUUUACAGAACAUUGAGC
This 1035-nucleotide long non-coding RNA is filed under the name Fukomys damarensis (Damara mole-rat). Its description in RNAcentral is "lncRNA (ENSFDAG00000025759.1)". The record is from RNAcentral. Lineage: Eukaryota; Metazoa; Chordata; Mammalia; Rodentia; Bathyergidae.